Molecule: ribosomal RNA, 58 nt
Filed under: Stereophaedusa hemileuca takii
Lineage: Eukaryota; Metazoa; Mollusca; Gastropoda; Stylommatophora; Clausiliidae
Description: Pliciphaedusa hemileuca takii partial 5.8S rRNA
Source: RNAcentral
AAAAAAACCAGAAAAGAAAUGGAAAAAAAAAAUAACUUUGAGCGGUGGAUCACUCGGC